UAGCUCAAUCAGUAGAGCGUAGCGCUAACAACGGUAAGGUCGUGGGUUUGAUUCCCGU
This 58-nucleotide transfer RNA is filed under the name Apaloderma vittatum (bar-tailed trogon). It matches the Rfam family "tRNA", at positions 8 to 63 of the family's 71-position model. From Rfam's summary of the family: Transfer RNA (tRNA) molecules are approximately 80 nucleotides in length. Their secondary structure includes four short double-helical elements and three loops (D, anti-codon, and T loops). Lineage: Eukaryota; Metazoa; Chordata; Aves; Trogoniformes; Trogonidae. The record is from Rfam by way of RNAcentral.